RNAcentral lists this ribosomal RNA (747 nucleotides) under Microbacterium barkeri. RNAcentral describes it as "bacterial SSU rRNA". The stretch from base 156 to 747 matches the Rfam family "Bacterial small subunit ribosomal RNA", at positions 875 to 1464 of the family's 1533-position model. Lineage: Bacteria; Bacillati; Actinomycetota; Actinomycetes; Micrococcales; Microbacteriaceae. The record is from RNAcentral.
AAAAAAUGUAAGGUACGAGGACCGAAAAAGGACGGGAGCAAAAAAUAUAAUAAAGGGCAGGGGAGAUCCUUGAUCGUGCACAUAUGGUAACAGAGUUGAGCGGACGCUUCACAAGGUAUCUGAUACUCAAGCUAACGCCGUAAGUCCACCCCCUCGGGAGUAAGUCCGCUCGAUGUAAAGUCAAGGGAAAUGACGGGGACGGCGCGCAAGCGGCGGAGCAUGUGGAGUAAUUCGAAGCAAGGCGAAGAGCCUUGGCAAGGCGUGACAUACACCGGAACCGUCUGGAACCAGUCGCCCCUUUUUGGUCGGUGUACAGGUGGUGCAUGGUUGUCGUCAGCUCGUGUCGUGAGAUGUUGGGUUAAGUCCCGCAACGAGCGCAACCCUCGUUCUAUGUUGCCAGCACGUUAUGGUGGGAACUCAUGGGAUACUGCCGGGGUCAACUCGGAGGAAGGUGGGGAUGACGUCAAAUCAUCAUGCCCCUUAUGUCUUGGGCUUCACGCAUGCUACAAUGGCCGGUACAAAGGGCUGCAAUACCGUGAGGUGGAGCGAAUCCCAAAAAGCCGGUCCCAGUUCGGAUUGAGGUCUGCAACUCGACCUCAUGAAGUCGGAGUCGCUAGUAAUCGCAGAUCAGCAACGCUGCGGUGAAUACGUUCCCGGGUCUUGUACACACCGCCCGUCGAGUCAUGAAAGUCGGUAACACCUGAAGCACGGUGGCCUAACCCCUUGGGGAGGGAGCUGUCGAACGGG